GAGACAGCAGCAGCCGCGGUAAUACGGAGGGUGCAAGCGUUAAUCGGAAUUACUGGGCGUAAAGCGCACGCAGGCGGUCUGACAAGUCAGAUGUGAAAUCCCCGGGCUUAACCUGGGAACUGCAUUUGAAACUGUCAGGCUGGAGUCUUGUAGAGGGGGGUAGAAUUCCAGGUGUAGCGGUGAAAUGCGUAGAGAUCUGGAGGAAUACCGGUGGCGAAGGCGGCCCCCUGGACAAAGACUGACGCUCAGGUGCGAAAGCGUGGGGAGCAAACAGGAUUAGAUACCCGGGUAGUCCCUGUCUCUUAUAC
RNAcentral lists this ribosomal RNA (308 nucleotides) under uncultured bacterium. RNAcentral describes it as "partial 16S ribosomal RNA". It matches the Rfam family "Bacterial small subunit ribosomal RNA", at positions 505 to 807 of the family's 1533-position model. The record is from RNAcentral.